UAAGUAUAAGCAAUCAUACUGUGAAACUGCGAAUGGCUCAUUAAAUCAGUUAUCGUUUAUUUGAUAGUACCUUUACCUGGAUAACCGUGGUAAUUCUAGAGCUAAUACAUGCUAACAACCCCGACUUCGGGAGGGGUGUAUUUAUUAGAUAAAAAACCAAUGCCCUUCGGGGCUCCUUGGUGAUUCAUAAUAACUUAACGAAUCGCAUGGCCUUGCGCCGGCGAUGGUUCAUUCAAAUUUCUGCCCUAUCACCUUUCGAUUGUAAGAUAGAGGCUUACAAUGGGAGCAACGGGUAACGGGGAAUAAGGGUUCUAUUCCGGAGAGGGAGCCUGAGAAACGGCUACCACAUCCAAGGAAGGCAGCAGGCGCGCAAAUUACCCAAUCCCGAUACGGGGAGGUAGUGACAAUAAAUACUGAUACGGGGCUCUUUCGGGUCUCGUAAUUGGAAUGAGUACAAUCUAAAUCCCUUAACGAGGAACAAUUGGAGGGCAAGUCUGGUGCCAGCAGCCGCGGUAAUUCCAGCUCCAAUAGCGUAUAUUAAAGUUGUUGCCGUUAAAAAGCUCGUAGUUGAACCUUGGCCCUGGCUGAUCUGUCCUCCUAAUCGAGCGCACGGAUUCGGUCGGGGCUUUCCUUCUGGGGAGCCCCAUGCCCUUCACUGGGUGUGGCGGGGAACCAGGACUUUUACCUUGAAAAAAUUAGAGUGUUCAAAGCAGGCCUUUGCUCGAAUACAUUAGCAUGGAAUAAUAGAAUAGGACAUCGGUUCUAUUUUGUUGGUUUCUAGGACCGCUGUAAUGAUUAAUAGGGACAGUCGGGGGCGUCAGUAUUCAAUUGUCAGAGGUGAAAUUCUUGGAUUUAUUGAAGACUAACUACUGCGAAAGCAUUCGCCAAGGAUGUUUUCAUUAAUCAGUGAACGAAAGUUAGGGGAUCGAAGACGAUCAGAUACCGUCGUAGUCUUAACCAUAAACUAUGCCGACUAGGGAUCGGACGGUGGUUUUUUUAUGCCCCGUUCGGCNCCUUACGAGAAAUCAAAGUUUUUGGGCUCG
This 1043-nucleotide ribosomal RNA is filed under the name Rhinocladiella aquaspersa. RNAcentral's name for it is "SSU rRNA". It matches the Rfam family "Eukaryotic small subunit ribosomal RNA", at positions 60 to 1115 of the family's 1831-position model. Lineage: Eukaryota; Fungi; Ascomycota; Eurotiomycetes; Chaetothyriales; Herpotrichiellaceae. The record is from RNAcentral.